GAGGAUAUAGCUCAGUGGUAGAGCUCUUGCAUACCCUGCAUGAGGUCCUGGGUUCAAUCCCCAGUACCUCCA
RNAcentral lists this transfer RNA (72 nucleotides) under Camelus bactrianus (Bactrian camel). It matches the Rfam family "tRNA". Rfam says of the family: Transfer RNA (tRNA) molecules are approximately 80 nucleotides in length. Their secondary structure includes four short double-helical elements and three loops (D, anti-codon, and T loops). The record is from Rfam by way of RNAcentral. RNAcentral also lists the same sequence under 1 other name. Lineage: Eukaryota; Metazoa; Chordata; Mammalia; Artiodactyla; Camelidae.